This 66-nucleotide transfer RNA is filed under the name Typhlatya iliffei. RNAcentral describes it as "tRNA-Asp". The record is from RNAcentral. Lineage: Eukaryota; Metazoa; Arthropoda; Malacostraca; Decapoda; Atyidae.
UAAAAAUUAGUUAAUUUAUAAUAUAAGCUUGUCAAGCUUAAGUUAUCAGGCACCUGAUAUUUUUAA